CGCUGCUCCCGCUGCACAGAGGCGUUUCCGGCACCUCUGCUAUCUCGGGGCUGCCACGAGAUUUCUGACUCUUCCUCACUCGGCAAACACGCAGCUUGCUCUCGCCAUGCACCUCGCACAUCUCAUCCUCACCGUCUUCCUGGGACAGCUCCUCGGCACCUCGGGGCAGAUCACGGUCAUCCAGGAAGAUGGACAAGUCACGGUGAAGCAGGGACACACCUUCCACACCACCUGCAAAUACCAGACCAGUGGUUUUGACGGCUUGCUCUGGUACCAGCUGCGGAAAGGCCAAGCCCCCCAGCUGCUCUCCUAUCAAUCAGGGACUGGCCCCAGGCACAGCGGCCGUAUCACCACGCACCUGAACACCACGGGGGAAUCCAGUGUGCUGAAGGUGGAGGAAGUGGAGGGCUCUGACAGCGCCUUGUACCUGUGUGCUGUACAAGACACCCUGCAGCCCCGUUUGCAUGGACACACGUGA
This is a non-coding RNA of Oenanthe melanoleuca, 478 nucleotides long. Lineage: Eukaryota; Metazoa; Chordata; Aves; Passeriformes; Muscicapidae. The record is from the annotation of a RefSeq genome assembly.